RNAcentral lists this ribosomal RNA (522 nucleotides) under uncultured bacterium. RNAcentral's name for it is "bacterial SSU rRNA". It matches the Rfam family "Bacterial small subunit ribosomal RNA", at positions 8 to 518 of the family's 1533-position model. The record is from RNAcentral.
AGAGUUUGAUUAUGGCUCAGGAUGAACGCUAGCUACAGGCUUAACACAUGCAAGUCGAGGGGCAGCAUGGUCUUAGCUUGCUAAGGCUGAUGGCGACCGGCGCACGGGUGAGUAACGCGUAUCCAACCUUCCCCUUAGUAGGGCAUAGCCCGGCGAAAGUCGGAUUAACACCCUAUGUUUUUCCGUUGCGGGCAUCUAAUAUGGAACAAAGAUUUAUCGCUAAGGGAUGGGGAUGCGUCUGAUUAGGUAGUAGGCGGGGUAACGGCCCACCUAGCCUUCGAUCAGUAGGGGUUCUGAGAGGAAGGUCCCCCACAUUGGAACUGAGACACGGUCCAAACUCCCACGGGAGGCAGCAGUGAGGAAUAUUGGUCAAUGGCCGAGAGGCUGAACCAGCCAAGUAGCGUGCAGGACGACGGCCCUAUGGGUUGUAAACUGCUUUUAUGCGGGGAUAAAGUCCCCCACGUGUGGGUGUUUGCAGGUACCGCAUGAAUAAGGACCGGCUAAUUCCGUGCCAGCAGCAGC